This 465-nucleotide ribosomal RNA is filed under the name Vreelandella stevensii. Its description in RNAcentral is "partial 16S ribosomal RNA". It matches the Rfam family "Bacterial small subunit ribosomal RNA", at positions 338 to 795 of the family's 1533-position model. The record is from RNAcentral. Lineage: Bacteria; Pseudomonadati; Pseudomonadota; Gammaproteobacteria; Oceanospirillales; Halomonadaceae.
CCUACGGGUGGCUGCAGUGGGGAAUAUUGGACAAUGGGCGAAAGCCUGAUCCAGCCAUGCCGCGUGUGUGAAGAAGGCCUUCGGGUUGUAAAGCACUUUCAGUGGGGAAGAAAGCCUUGGGGCUAAUACCCUCGAGGAAGGACAUCACCCACAGAAGAAGCACCGGCUAACUCCGUGCCAGCAGCCGCGGUAAUACGGAGGGUGCGAGCGUUAAUCGGAAUUACUGGGCGUAAAGCGCGCGUAGGCGGUCUGAUAAGCCGGUUGUGAAAGCCCCGGGCUCAACCUGGGAACGGCAUCCGGAACUGUCAGGCUGGAGUGCAGGAGAGGAAGGUAGAAUUCCCGGUGUAGCGGUGAAAUGCGUAGAGAUCGGGAGGAAUACCAGUGGCGAAGGCGGCCUUCUGGACUGACACUGACGCUGAGGUGCGAAAGCGUGGGUAGCAAACAGGAUUAGAUACCCCUGUAGUC